Molecule: ribosomal RNA, 612 nt
Filed under: uncultured Peptococcaceae bacterium
Lineage: Bacteria; Bacillati; Bacillota; Clostridia; Eubacteriales; Peptococcaceae
Description: bacterial SSU rRNA
Rfam family: Bacterial small subunit ribosomal RNA
Source: RNAcentral
AAGUCGAACGGAAAGAGAUGAAAGAGCUUGCUCUUUUAUUAAUUUCAGUGGCAAACGGGUGAGUAACACGUAAACAACCUGCCUUAAGGAUGGGGAUAACAGACGGAAACGACUGCUAAUACCGAAUACGUUCUAAGCAUCGCAUGGUGCAUAGAAGAAAGGGUGGCCUCUACAAGAAAGCUAUCGCCUUAAGAGGGGUUUGCGACUGAUUAGGUAGUUGGUGAGGUAACGGCUCACCAAGCCGACGAUCAGUAGCCGGUCUGAGAGGAUGAACGGCCACACUGGAACUGAGACACGGUCCAGACUCCUACGGGAGGCAGCAGUGGGGAAUCUUCCGCAAUGGACGAAAGUCUGACGGAGCAACGCCGCGUGAACGAAGAAGGUCUUCGGAUUGUAAAGUUCUGUGAUUCGGGACGAAAGGGUUUGUGGUGAAUAAUCAUAGACAUUGACGGUACCGAAAAAGCAAGCCACGGCUAACUACGUGCCAGCAGCCGCGGUAAUACGUAGGUGGCAAGCGUUGUCCGGAAUUAUUGGGCGUAAAGCGCGCGCAGGCGGCUUCUUAAGUCCAUCUUAAAAGCGUGGGGCUCAACCCCAUGAGGGGAUGGAAACUGG